Molecule: ribosomal RNA, 484 nt
Filed under: uncultured bacterium
Lineage: Bacteria
Description: partial 16S ribosomal RNA
Rfam family: Bacterial small subunit ribosomal RNA
Source: RNAcentral
AGUGAACGCUGGCGGCAGGCCUAACACAUGCAAGUCGAGCGGCAGCGCGGGGGCAACCCUGGCGGCGAGCGGCGGACGGGUGAGGAAUUCGUCGGAAUCUGCCUUUUUGUGGGGGAUAACGUAGGGAAACUUACGCUAAUACCGCAUACGUCCUACGGGAGAAAGUGGGGGACCGCAAGGCCUCACGCAGAAAGAUGAGCCGACGACCGAUUAGCUAGUUGGUGGGGUAAAGGCCCACCAAGGCGACGAUCGGUAGCUGGUCUGAGAGGAUGAUCAGCCACACUGGGACUGAGACACGGCCCAGACUCCUACGGGAGGCAGCAGUGGGGAAUAUUGGACAAUGGGCGCAAGCCUGAUCCAGCCAUGCCGCGUGUGUGAAGAAGGCCUUCGGGUUUUAAAGCACUUUUGUCCGGAAAGAAAUCCCUGGAGCUAAUACCUUCGGGGGAUGACGGUACCGGAAGAAUAAGCACCGGCUAACUUCGUG